ACCUCGGAUCAGGUAGGGAUACCCGCUGAACUUAAGCAUAUCAAUAAGCGGAGGAAAAGAAACCAACAGGGAUUACCUCAGUAACGGCGAGUGAAGCGGUAACAGCUCAAAUUUGAAAGCUGGCUCUUUUAGGGUCCGCGUUGUAAUUUGUAGAAGAUGCUUCGGGUGUGGCCCCGGUCUAAGUUCCUUGGAACAGGACGUCAUAGAGGGUGAGAAUCCCGUAUGUGACUGGGUGCUUUCGCUCAUGUGAAGCUCUUUCGACGAGUCGAGUUGUUUGGGAAUGCAGCUCAAAAUGGGUGGUAAAUUUCAUCUAAAGCUAAAUAUUGGCCAGAGACCGAUAGCGCACAAGUAGAGUGAUCGAAAGAUGAAAAGCACUUUGGAAAGAGAGUUAAACAGUACGUGAAAUUGUUGAAAGGGAAGCGCUUGCAACCAGACUUGCGCGCUGAUGAUCAUCCGGGCUUCUGCCCGGUGCACUCGUCUGCGCUCAGGCCAGCAUCGGUUUCGGUGGUGGGAUAAAGGCCUUGGGAAUGUGGCUCCUCUCGGGGAGUGUUAUAGCCCUCGGUGCAAUGCCGCCAACCGGGAC
This 583-nucleotide ribosomal RNA is filed under the name Leptodontidium sp. C_BESC_184o. Its description in RNAcentral is "eukaryotic LSU rRNA". It matches the Rfam family "Eukaryotic large subunit ribosomal RNA", at positions 1 to 589 of the family's 3401-position model. The record is from RNAcentral. Lineage: Eukaryota; Fungi; Ascomycota; Leotiomycetes; Helotiales; Leptodontidiaceae. RNAcentral also lists the same sequence under 1 other name.